ACGGCGAGUGAAGCGGUAACAGCUCAAAUUUGAAAUCUGGCUCCUCGGGGCCCGAAUUGUAAUUUGUAGAAGAUGCUUUGGGUCUGGGCCUGGCCUAAGUUCCUUGGAACAGGACGUCGUAGAGGGUGAGAAUCCCGUAUGCGGCUGGCGCCCGUGCCCGUGUAAAGCUCUUUCGACGAGUCGAGUUGUUUGGGAAUGCAGCUCUAAAUGGGUGGUAAAUUUCAUCUAAAGCUAAAUAUUGGCCAGAGACCGAUAGCGCACAAGUAGAGUGAUCGAAAGAUGAAAAGCACUUUGGAAAGAGAGUUAAACAGUACGUGAAAUUGUUGAAAGGGAAGCGCUGGCAACCAGACUUGGGCGCUGUUGAUCCGCUAGGGUUCUCUCUAGGGCACUCGGCAGCGCGCAGGCCAGCAUCGGUUUGGGGGGUUGGAGAAUGGCUGGUGGAAUGUGGCUGUCUUCGGGCAGUGUUAUAGCCACCGGUGGCAUGCAGCCUCCCCGGACCGAGGACCGCGCUUCGGCUAGGAUGCUGGCGUAAUGGUUGUCAGCGACCCGUCUUGAAACACGGACCAAGGAGUCUAACAUCUAUGCGAGUGUUUGGGUGUUAAACCCAUACGCGGAAUGAAAGUGAACGUAGGUGAGAACCCGUAAGGGUGCAUCAUCGACCGAUCCU
Molecule: ribosomal RNA, 667 nt
Filed under: Podosphaera elsholtziae
Lineage: Eukaryota; Fungi; Ascomycota; Leotiomycetes; Helotiales; Erysiphaceae
Description: eukaryotic LSU rRNA
Rfam family: Eukaryotic large subunit ribosomal RNA
Source: RNAcentral